CGCUGCUUAUAUAAAAUUAAGAAGGAGCAUGUGGCCUCUCAAUAUGCAGCAAUUGAAAUUAAGAAGGAGCAGGCCGAUUGACAUCUAGCCUUCAUUGAAAGACGUAAUGCGAUAGCAAGGAAAAAGGCUUUGGCGUAAGACACUCUGCGAAGAGGUUGGUCACCGAGCGCGAAAGACGCCAGAAAUCAACGCACGUUCGUGGAGGAUACAAAGUCUGCGAGGAAAGUUUUUCGCCAAGGCUUUUGUGGUGUGAUUUCGCGAGGAAUUAGUCUUAAACAUGAAACAGCGCCCGCGAUGCGAUUACGGCUCGCUAGGAAUUAGUCCUAAACAAGAAGUGGCGCCCGCGAUGGGAUUACGUUAGCUAAUGUUCGCGAGGAACAUUUUCGCGAGUGUUUUUCUAGAAAGCAAGGAUCACGAGAAGCGGAGCUCGCUAGGUACAAUUGGCGUCAACGCGAUACUAUCCGGCGAAGCACUGCGCCAGAACUUCUUCCAACAAGAGAUGCACGCUCUGAGGCAAAGUCGAUCAAAGGGCC
Molecule: long non-coding RNA, 533 nt
Filed under: Rosa chinensis
Lineage: Eukaryota; Viridiplantae; Streptophyta; Magnoliopsida; Rosales; Rosaceae
Description: sRNA RchiOBHm_Chr1g0314051
Source: RNAcentral